UACGUAGGGUGCAAGCGUUAAUCGGAAUUACUGGGCGUAAAGCGUGCGCAGGCGGUUUUGUAAGUCUGUCGUGAAAUCCCCAGGCUCAACCUGGGAAUUGCGAUGGAGACUGCAAGGCUAGAAUCUGGCAGAGGGGGGUAGAAUUCCACGUGUAGCAGUGAAAUGCGUAGAGAUGUGGAGGAACACCGAUGGCGAAGGCAGCCCCCUGGGUCAAGAUUGACGCUCAUGCACGAAAGCGUGGGGAGCAAACAGG
Molecule: ribosomal RNA, 253 nt
Filed under: uncultured bacterium
Lineage: Bacteria
Description: partial 16S ribosomal RNA
Rfam family: Bacterial small subunit ribosomal RNA
Source: RNAcentral